AGUGAACGCUGGCGGUAGGCCCAACACAUGCAAGUCGAACGGCAGCACAGUAAGAGCUUGCUCUUACGGGUGGCGAGUGGCGGACGGGUGAGGAAUACAUCGGAAUCUACUUUUUCGUGGGGGAUAACGUAGGGAAACUUACGCUAAUACCGCAUACGACCUACGGGUGAAAGCAGGGGAUCUUCGGACCUUGCGCGAUUGAAUGAGCCGAUGUCGGAUUAGCUAGUUGGCGGGGUAAAGGUCCACCAAGGCGACGAUCCGUAGCUGGUCUGAGAGGAUGAUCAGCCACACUGGAACUGAGACACGGUCCAGACUCCUACGGGAGGCAGCAGUGGGGAAUAUUGGACAAAGGGCGCAAGCCUGAUCCAGCCAUACCGCGUGGGUGAAGAAGGCCUUCGGGUUGUAAAGCCCUUUUGUUGGGAAAGAAAAGCAGCAGGUUAAUACCCCGCUGUUCUGACGGUACCCAAAGAAUAAGCACCGGCUAACUUCGUG
RNAcentral lists this ribosomal RNA (492 nucleotides) under uncultured bacterium. Its description in RNAcentral is "partial 16S ribosomal RNA". It matches the Rfam family "Bacterial small subunit ribosomal RNA", at positions 29 to 507 of the family's 1533-position model. The record is from RNAcentral.